AACGAACGCUGGCGGCAUGCCUAACACAUGCAAGUCGAACGAGACCUUCGGGUCUAUUUUCUCACGGGUGCGUAACGCGUUGGAACCUGCCCUUAGGUUCGGAAUAACUCCCCGAAAGGGGUGCUAAUACCGGCUAAUGUCUUCGGACCAAAGAUUUAUCGCCUUUGGAUGGGCCCGCGUUGGCUUAGCUUGUUGGUAGGGUAAAAGCCUACCCAGGCGACGAUCCAUAGCUGGUCUGAGAGGAUGAUCAGCCACACUGGGACUGAGACACGGCCCAGACUCCUACGGGAGGCAGCAGUGGGGAAUAUUGGACAAUGGGCGAAAGCCUGAUCCAGCAAUGCCGCGUGAGUGAUGAAGGCCUUAGGGUUGUAAAGCUCUUUUACCCGGGAUGAUAAUGACAGUACCGGGAGAAUAAGCUCCGGCUAACUCCGUG
RNAcentral lists this ribosomal RNA (433 nucleotides) under uncultured bacterium. RNAcentral's name for it is "partial 16S ribosomal RNA". It matches the Rfam family "Bacterial small subunit ribosomal RNA", at positions 29 to 507 of the family's 1533-position model. The record is from RNAcentral.